Molecule: non-coding RNA, 75 nt
Organism: Trichonephila inaurata madagascariensis
Lineage: Eukaryota; Metazoa; Arthropoda; Arachnida; Araneae; Nephilidae
Source: the annotation of a GenBank genome assembly
GCCCGGCUAGCUCAGUCGGUAGAGCACGGAACUCUUAAUCUCAGGGUCGUGGGUUCAGGAAGGCCACGUUGGGCG